UUGCUAACGAAUGGAGAUGGGACUCUGGUGACAAGGUGGACAGAGCUGGUGAGCAGCAUCCCAGACAGGAAAGGCAUGGCUUCGUCUCCUGAGAUCCAGAUGCACUAAGUUGAAGACAGUGACAGUGAAAAGACCAGCAUCUUCAGCGACAGUGUUAUUUCCCUCCAUUGGACUACUUUCUAACCAACUAAUUGAAGGUGACACAUCUCCCCAGGUAAGCUGUUGGGCAUUCUGCAGGGUUCCUUUGCCAGACAGCAUCAGGCACAGUGACAUUAGAUCAAAUCAUCAUGAAGUUUUCUGAUGUGUGACCAGCCAUCACC
RNAcentral lists this long non-coding RNA (320 nucleotides) under Mustela putorius furo (domestic ferret). RNAcentral describes it as "lncRNA (ENSMPUG00000025542.1)". The record is from RNAcentral. Lineage: Eukaryota; Metazoa; Chordata; Mammalia; Carnivora; Mustelidae.